AUUGAACGCUGGCGGAAUGCUUUACACAUGCAAGUCGAACGGUAGAGGGGGCAACCCCUCGAGAGUGGCGAACGGGUGAGUAAUAUAUCGGAACGUGCCCAGUCGUGGGGGAUAACGUAGCGAAAGUUACGCUAAUACCGCAUACGACCUAAGGAUGAAAGCGGGGGAUCGCAAGACCUCGCGCGAUUGGAGCGGCCGAUAUCAGAUUAGGUAGUUGGUGGGGUAAAGGCUCACCAAGCCAACGAUCUGUAGCUGGUCUGAGAGGACGACCAGCCACACUGGAACUGAGACAUGGUCCAGACUCCUACGGGAGGCAGCAGUGGGGAAUUUUGGACAAUGGACGCAAGUCUGAUCCAGCCAUUCCGCGUGCAGGAUGAAGGCCCUCGGGUUGUAAACUGCUUUUGUACGGAACGAAAAGGUCUCUCUUAAUACGGGGGACUCAUGACGGUACCGUAAGAAUAAGCACCGGCUAACUACGUGCCAGCCGCCGCCGUAA
Molecule: ribosomal RNA, 496 nt
Filed under: uncultured bacterium
Lineage: Bacteria
Description: partial 16S ribosomal RNA
Rfam family: Bacterial small subunit ribosomal RNA
Source: RNAcentral